Acromyrmex echinatior (Panamanian leafcutter ant) is the source of this 748-nucleotide long non-coding RNA. RefSeq lists it as uncharacterized. The record is from RefSeq and is a predicted model, not a curated record. NCBI's taxonomy places the organism in Eukaryota, Metazoa, Arthropoda, Insecta, Hymenoptera, Formicidae.
AAUUGUGCCAAUGCUGAGUAGGAAAUGGACAAAAACUUGAUAGAAUUUUAUUAAGUGAUUCUCCUUCAGUGAUUCUUUGAAGCAGUUUUUCCUGGUAAAAAUUUAUGCAAUUUGCGUAGACAUGCUCAGAUUUUAAAACUGUUUAAAGAAUGAAUGAACGCGUAGAAAAACAUAGAGCAAGGAAAAAGAAGUUGGAGGAAAUAAGGAUUUUAACAGGGCAAAAUUUUGUGACAGAAAUGAAAACUACAACUAUUUCACUUUACAUUCUUCCUUUUAAACAUUUAAUCUUUUUAUUUUUCCAUUAUCUUACACAUCUUCCAUAAUAUUUAGAGACGUCAACGUCUGGAGACUCAACGUAUGAAAAAUCUAAAAUUGAAGACAAAAAGAAAAAAAAGAUUUUAAAGGAAAGAAAUCUGUGAAACCUAUUUGAAUUAAAGAACAAGAAGAAAAAGAAGUUAUUGUUUGAUAAUUUCGUAAAGAAAAAUGAAUUAAAAGGGACAUCUAAGAAUCAAGAGUGUUAAAAAGGAUAGUAAAAGAUAUAAAAGUCCCUGCUAAUAUGAAUAUCUGCACGAAGAACGAUCAACAGAUUUUACGUCACACCUCUAAUGACAUUCAAGAGCAAAAAUUACUCGAUUCAUCUACAUGUGCAGAAUGUACUGAAGAAAGUUAUGGUUGAUGCAAAUAAAGGAAACUCCAGUUUGUAAACUGAUACAUUUUUGGCAAACCAUAAUAUUUCUUUGCUAAUUAC